Molecule: transfer RNA, 84 nt
Filed under: candidate division TA06 bacterium
Lineage: Bacteria
Also listed under: 1 other name
Description: tRNA-Ser
Rfam family: tRNA
About the family: Transfer RNA (tRNA) molecules are approximately 80 nucleotides in length.
Source: RNAcentral
GGAGGGCUAGACCUAACUGGUAAGGCAGUGGAUUUGAAAUCCACCGUCCCUCGGGACUUGGGGGUUCGAAUCCCUCGCCCUCCG